GCUGGACGCUGCCUUCCGGUAGCGAUGAGCCCGUCCCCGGCGCUCCCAGGGUCGCCGGCGGGCGCUGAGGAGGGCGGGCGCCGCGGGGGUGUCACCGAACGGGAUUUCCCGCCUCCAUAAGCACUCAGCGACUGGAGCCAGGUACACCUAUGAAAUACCAAUUGUUUAGUUAUGUGACCCGAUGCAGAAGAAGAAAGAUAUAUUUCACUGGAAGGUUUCAAACAGGUUAACAUCUUCAAGCAGUUAACAGCUCACCACUAACAGGUAGCCUGUGGAGAUGCAGCUGAGCACUAGAGAACAAGAAACAUGCACUCUUUCAGCAUGAUGGCUUUUUCAGGAGCCAAGUCUAUCCUAAGCUUUGCUGGUGUUCCUGGAAGUUGACUCCCUGGCACAGAGAAGCCGAGUUGCCAGGUCCACUGUUGGACUCCACAACAUCUCUAGGCCAGGUCUCCUGCCUUAUACAUGUGGUAAGAGUUUUAUAACACGGACUUUUCAUAUAGGAAGUUUUACAUGCUAUCUCUCUGUCUCCAGGGAGGUGGGAAUAGAAAGCUAGUUCCAUGUGGGAUUUUCAUGUGCUUUCUUUUCACCUUCUUAAUUCUCCAGAAGUCCAGCUGAUGGAGCAUUUUUUCCACUAGAGAUCCCUCAAGAUUUUAGUUUUGGUAAUGACUAAAGCAAAAUGGUGUUAUUGUUAGGAAGCAGGAAUAACAAUGUCAUGGGAUUUUUAAAGCUGUUCCUCUAUAGCCAGUUAACAUGCUAACAUUGUUGCAGAAAAUAAUUACUUCAUUAUUAAAUUGUGAGAAUGAAAUAGUGAGCUUGUUUCUAAAUAGGACUAAUCACUCCAGAAUUACUCUGUGCCAGUAUUUUUAUUCCGGAGCAGGCAAUUUGCAUGGGGAAUUAUUCUGGACUAGGGGUGGCUAAACCAAUUACAAUUUCCCUCCUGUCUUGAGAGAGAGCACAUAUUGGCACUGUGGUGCAGUACAUGGGACUUUGAAAUAAAAUAAUUGUGUGUUACCAAAACUUGCCCACAAACACUGAAUGGCUACAGAAUUUGAUCACAAUUAUCAGAAGAAAAAUUUCUGUUAGACUUUAGUGUCUGCCAAGCACUUAAUGUCACUCACAGGUGUUAAUGCACAUUUGUUUUUGCUGUAACUCCAUUACUCCUGUAGGCAUUAUACCACUGAUUAGUUCUAGUUUUGUCCAUCUGCAAAGUCACUAAAAUAGAAGCAUGUGGGAGAGGAUUUUUCCAACACAAAAUAUAAGUGCUUACAUGAAGAAAUUAAGAAAAAAAAAAUGCAUUUUGCGUUCUGUAAAAACCAUGGCACCAACGUAAAAAUGCCUCUGGCAUUCUAGUAAAUAUUAGCUUAAUCCAAACUUGCUUGCACAAUUCUUGUUUUCUGCAUUGUCCUUAGUAGUUACAUAACUAUGUUGGCACAUGUGGAAUGUCAGACAAAUAAAAAGGUAUCUUCU
This 1467-nucleotide long non-coding RNA is filed under the name Strigops habroptila (Kakapo). Its description in RNAcentral is "lncRNA (ENSSHBG00005004898.1)". The record is from RNAcentral. Lineage: Eukaryota; Metazoa; Chordata; Aves; Psittaciformes; Psittacidae.